GAUGAACGCUGGCGGCGUGCCUAAUACAUGCCAGUCGAGCGAACAGACGAGGAGCUUGCUCCUCUGACGUUAGCGGCGGACGGGUGAGUAACACGUGGAUAACCUACCUAUAAGACUGGGAUAACUUCGGGAAACCGGAGCUAAUACCGGAUAAUAUAUUGAACCGCAUGGUUCAAUAGUGAAAGACGGUUUUGCUGUCACUUAUAGAUGGAUCCGCGCCGCAUUAGCUAGUUGGUAAGGUAACGGCUUACCAAGGCAACGAUGCGUAGCCGACCUGAGAGGGUGAUCGGCCACACUGGAACUGAGACACGGUCCAGACUCCUACGGGAGGCAGCAGUAGGGAAUCUUCCGCAAUGGGCGAAAGCUUGACGGAGCAACGCCGCGUGAGUGAUGAAGGUCUUCGGAUCGUAAAACUCUGUUAUUAGGGAAGAACAAAUGUGUAAGUAACUAUGCACGUCUUGACGGUACCUAAUCAGAAAGCCACGGCUAUCUACGUG
This 497-nucleotide ribosomal RNA is filed under the name uncultured bacterium. RNAcentral's name for it is "partial 16S ribosomal RNA". It matches the Rfam family "Bacterial small subunit ribosomal RNA", at positions 28 to 507 of the family's 1533-position model. The record is from RNAcentral.